AACUGUAUGUUGUAUUGAAAUUAAAUUGUAUUUUGAACACACUCAUCUAAACAAAAAUUCACAAAUGACUUUUACAAUUUAAACAAAUCAAACGGAUUUUUAUAAUACUUUUAAAGUUACCUGGAGAGUUACCAUCGUAUUGGUAUUUUUAGCUUAUCUUAAACUUUAUCUUAUUUUAUUAUAACACGAAAAUCAAAUUAUAUAACUGCACAUUUCACGGAAUUUACGAUGGACAUGCGCUAAGUAAUAAAUAAUAAUAUUAAUAACUUCAUAAUAUUUUUUCUAUUUAUGCAUUAUAUUUUAGAAAAAUGCUAAAAUAUGCAUAAUGAUUUGAAAUUUUCCAAAUAUGCAAAAAUAGGCCAAAUUUAAUUUCGCAUACCAACACGUUAGGUUACGAUUCAAAUUUCUGCCUUACUACUUUUUAUUUUAAUAUAUAAAAAUAUGCAAAUGCAUACAAUUCCUGGCCCUAAUCAUGUAUAUAGUUAUAAAUAUCAACUUGAUAACAAAAUCGUUUAGAUUAUUAUUGUUCUAUUUUUAGUAAUGAGUUUAUUAACAUUAUUUGUUCAUGUUAUUGAUAACUUGUGCCAAAAUUACGAUGGUGGACAUUGUGUCGUUCAGUCGUUGAUUAUAAAUUGUAAUGCAGUCUCAGUAAUUAUUUUAUUAUUUUUAUUCGUAGUUUUAAAUAAUUUAUAUUUACGAUUAUCAACUAAGACAAGAAAAUUUGAAAGUUUUUCUUUAAAGAGAAAACGGAAAGAUUAGGAAGCUUCUAUAAAUACAAUAUUAUUAUUCAACCAGUCCAGACGUUUAUGAGCCCAAACAUUAAAAAUAAUAAGACAGAACAACGAACACUUUAAAGCUUCAAAAUGUGGUGUUGGUGAAGGAUGCUGACAGUGUAUUGAUUAGAAAACCGUACCAACGAAAACAUACUCAGUGAAAUAGAUAAACGAAGAGAGAUACUCAAAGACAUCAGAACAAGACGAUGGAACAUGAUGGGUCAUAUAUUGAGACACGAAAAUGAACUAACUCAUAGAAUAAUAGAAGAGAUAAUUGAAGGGAAAAGGGACCGAGGACGCCCGAGAACUUCAUAUAUUAAACAAAUGAUCUCAGAGGCAGGACUAAUAUGUAACACCGAACUGAAAAAGCUAGCUGAGAACAGAGAAAAGUGGAGAGCGAAUAUCUAAUUGCAAAACCAACCUGAAGGGUUGAAUACCAAAAAAAAAAA
This is a long non-coding RNA of Sipha flava (yellow sugarcane aphid), 1222 nucleotides long. RefSeq lists it as uncharacterized. The record is from RefSeq and is a predicted model, not a curated record. The transcript has 3 exons. NCBI's taxonomy places the organism in Eukaryota, Metazoa, Arthropoda, Insecta, Hemiptera, Aphididae.